This 201-nucleotide ribosomal RNA is filed under the name uncultured bacterium. RNAcentral describes it as "partial 16S ribosomal RNA". It matches the Rfam family "Bacterial small subunit ribosomal RNA", at positions 328 to 539 of the family's 1533-position model. The record is from RNAcentral.
ACGCUCGACACCUACGGGAGGCAGCAGUUGGGAAUAUUGGGCAAUGGGCGCAAGCCUGACCCAGCAACGCCGCGUGAAGGAAGAAGGCCCUCGGGUUGUAAACUUCUUUUGUCAGGGACGAAGCAAGUGACGGUACCUGACGAAUAAGCCACGGCUAACUACGUGCUAGCAGCCGCGGUAAUCUGAGCGGGCUGGCAAGGC